This 497-nucleotide ribosomal RNA is filed under the name uncultured bacterium. RNAcentral describes it as "partial 16S ribosomal RNA". It matches the Rfam family "Bacterial small subunit ribosomal RNA", at positions 28 to 507 of the family's 1533-position model. The record is from RNAcentral.
GAUGAACGCUGGCGGCGUGCCUAAUACAUGCAAGUCGAGCGAACGGACGAGAAGCUUGCUUCUCUGAUGUUAGCGGCGGACGGGUGAGUAACACGUGGAUAACCUACCUAUAAGACUGGGAUAACUUCGGGAAACCGGAGCUAAUACCGGAUAAUAUUUUGAACCGCAUGGUUCAAAAGUGAAAGACGGUCUUGCUGUCACUUAUAGAUGGAUCCGCGCUGCAUUAGCUAGUUGGUAAGGUAACGGCUUACCAAGGCAACGAUGCAUAGCCGACCUGAGAGGGGGAUCGGCGACACUGGAAGUGAGACACGGACCAGAGUACUAAGGGAGGCAGCAGUAGGGAAUCUGCCGCAAUGGGCGAAAGCCUGACGGAGCAACGCCGCGUGAGUGAUGAAGGUCUUGGGAGCGUAAAACUGUGUUAUUAGGGAAGAACAGAUGUGUAAGUAACUGUGCACAUCUUGACGGUACCGAAUCAGAAAGCCACGGCUAACUACGUG